Molecule: ribosomal RNA, 699 nt
Filed under: uncultured Bacteroidota bacterium
Lineage: Bacteria; Pseudomonadati; Bacteroidota
Description: bacterial SSU rRNA
Rfam family: Bacterial small subunit ribosomal RNA
Source: RNAcentral
AGAAAUGUUGAAUAAUACCCCAUAAUAUCAUUAAUCCGCAUGGAUUGAUGAAGAAAGCUCCGGCGGAAAAAGAUGGGCAUGCGUCCUAUUAGUUAGUUGGUAAGGUAACGGCUUACCAAGACAUCGAUAGGUAGGGGUCCUGAGAGGGAGAUCCCCCACACUGGUACUGAGACACGGACCAGACUCCUACGGGAGGCAGCAGUGAGGAAUAUUGGACAAUGGAGGCAACUCUGAUCCAGCCAUGCCGCGUGCAGGAAGACGGCCCUAUGGGUUGUAAACUGCUUUUAUACAGGAAGAACUGUAUCUACGUGUAGAUACUUGACGGUACUGUACGAAUAAGGAUCGGCUAACUCCGUGCCAGCAGCCGCGGUAAUACGGAGGAUCCAAGCGUUAUCCGGAAUCAUUGGGUUUAAAGGGUCCGUAGGCGGUCUGAUAAGUCAGAGGUGAAAUCCUGCAGCUCAACUGUAGCAUUGCCUUUGAUACUGUUAGACUUGAGUUAUUGUGAAGUAGUUAGAAUGUGUAGUGUAGCGGUGAAAUGCAUAGAUAUUACACAGAAUACCGAUUGCGAAGGNAGAUUACUAACAAUAUACUGACGCUGAGGGACGAAAGCGUGGGUAGCGAACAGGAUUAGAUACCCUGGUAGUCCACGCCGUAAACGAUGGAUACUAGCUGUUCGAUCAACAUUGGUUGGUUGAGUGG